This 330-nucleotide ribosomal RNA is filed under the name uncultured Chloroflexota bacterium. RNAcentral describes it as "bacterial SSU rRNA". It matches the Rfam family "Bacterial small subunit ribosomal RNA", at positions 28 to 351 of the family's 1533-position model. The record is from RNAcentral. Lineage: Bacteria; Bacillati; Chloroflexota.
GAUGAACGCUGGCGGCGUGCUUAAUACAUGCAAGUCGAACGAAGAGCUUUUGUAGCAAUACGGAAGCUUCUUAGUGGCGAACGGGUGCGUAACGCGUUGGUGACCUGCCCCGAAGUGUGGGAUAACAGUUCGAAAGGACUGCUAAUACCGCAUGUGAUCUUCAGUUUUAGAAUCUGAUGAUUAAAGCAGUAAUGCGCUUUGGGAGGGACCUGCGUCCCAUCAGCUAGUUGGUGAGGUAAUGGCCCACCAAGGCGUAGACGGGUAGGGGACCUGAGAGGGUGGCCCCCCACAAUGGAACUGAAACACGGUCCAUACACCUACGGGAGGCUG